This 71-nucleotide transfer RNA is filed under the name Echinostoma caproni. It matches the Rfam family "tRNA". From Rfam's summary of the family: Transfer RNA (tRNA) molecules are approximately 80 nucleotides in length. Their secondary structure includes four short double-helical elements and three loops (D, anti-codon, and T loops). Further hydrogen bonds mediate the characteristic L-shaped molecular structure. tRNAs have two regions of fundamental functional importance: the anti-codon, which is responsible for specific mRNA codon recognition, and the 3' end, to which the tRNAs corresponding amino acid is attached (by aminoacyl-tRNA synthetases). tRNAs cope with the degeneracy of the genetic code in two manners: having more than one tRNA (with a specific anti-codon) for a particular amino acid; and 'wobble' base-pairing, i.e. permitting non-standard base-pairing at the 3rd anti-codon position. Lineage: Eukaryota; Metazoa; Platyhelminthes; Trematoda; Plagiorchiida; Echinostomatidae. The record is from Rfam by way of RNAcentral.
GGCCUCGUAGCUCAGCUGGUAGAGCACGCGUAGGCGGCGUCCAUGCGUGGGUUCGAAUCCCACCGAAGCUA